GACGAACGCUGGCGGCGCGCUUAACACAUGCAAGUCGAACGGGAGGGCCUGAGUUCCCUUGUUUGUUGCAGUUACUCACGGGUCGAACAGGUGAGUAGCACGUGCCUGAUCGGCCGCCACAUCAGGUAUAAGCGAGGGAUACUAGGGCAAAUGCCCGCGAGGACGGCUGGGUGGGGGCGGUGGGGGGAAACGAGCUUCUAGCGGCUGGAGAUUGGCUCGCGUUCGAUUAGCUAGUUGCUGAGGUAACGGCCGACCAAGGCGACGAUGGGUAGCCGGACUGAGAGGCUGAACGGCCACAUUGGGACUGAGACACGGCCCAGACUCCUACGGGAGGCAGCAGUGGGGAAUAUUGCAGAAUGGGGGAAACCCUGAUGCAGCGGCGCCGCGUGGAGGAAGAAGGUCUUCGGAGUGUAAAAUCCUGUUGUUGGGGAAGAUAAUGACGGUACCCAACAAGGAAGCGACGGCUAACUACGUG
RNAcentral lists this ribosomal RNA (475 nucleotides) under uncultured bacterium. RNAcentral's name for it is "partial 16S ribosomal RNA". It matches the Rfam family "Bacterial small subunit ribosomal RNA", at positions 28 to 507 of the family's 1533-position model. The record is from RNAcentral.